This 728-nucleotide long non-coding RNA is filed under the name Androctonus crassicauda. The record is from RNAcentral. Lineage: Eukaryota; Metazoa; Arthropoda; Arachnida; Scorpiones; Buthidae.
AUACAUGUUUACUCAAUAUUUUAAUAGUUUUGUUUUUUAUUUUGCAAAAUAUUUGACAUUUUUUAAGAAAAAAAUUCUAAAUUUAGAAAAACUCUUCUCCCACAAUACCAAUUACAAUAUUAGCUUUUUUAUCCUUAUUGGUUCAGAAUAUACUUUUUCUGAUAGUAUUGAGCUUAGUAUAUGGAAGAAAAUUUUCCUGGGUAGGAAUUGGCAGGAAUUCUAAGCAAGCAUGCCAUGCCAUUUUAAACUUAAUAAUUAUUAUAAAAACGAAAAAUUGUUUUAAUUGUUAUUCAAUAAUAAUAAAUAUAAUCUUCAAUGUAUAGUAAUUAAAUUUCAAAAAGUCUUUUUAAAUUAGCGCAAAAUAAUUUUUAAAACAACAAUUUACUCGUUCCAUGUCUUUGAUUUGUUAACAUGUCAAAGGUCUACUUCCAUUCCGUGAGCUUUGUCAGAAUGCAUGUCAAAAGCACUCAUGAGAUUAAAAAUAUCUAAAAUUGAACCAAUUCUUCAAGAUGGUAAAAUUUCUUGGAAUUUAACUCAGAUCUCUAGGUGGUAAGAUUGUCUAUUAUCCAGAAUUAAAACUUCUAAGCUGGUAACUGAUUGCUUUACCUUCCAUUUCCAAUUGACAUAUAUAGUUGUAAAGUUUUAAUAAAACAGAAAAAGUAUUUCUAAGUAAUUUGCUAUGAAAAUAAUUAAGUUUGGAAUACUGUAAAGGCAAUCAUAUAAUUGAA